Molecule: long non-coding RNA, 915 nt
Filed under: Paramuricea clavata
Lineage: Eukaryota; Metazoa; Cnidaria; Anthozoa; Malacalcyonacea; Plexauridae
Source: RNAcentral
GUCAAGAGUCAAGAAAUAAUAUCUUCAUUUAAGAAAAACUAAUUUUACAUGUUUCUCAACGUAGAAAUAAUUUCUUAAACCAAGAUAACUAUUCUUAAAACAAGAAAUAUAAUCUUGAUAUAAGAAUAAUUAUCUUAAAUUAGGAAAAAAAAUCUUGCCAAGUAUUUCAUUUUUUGCAGUGAAGUUGUUCCAACAAUUCUGAUAUUUUUUCUUAUUCUUAUAUUUUUUCUUAUUCUGAUAUCAAUCCCAGCAGUAAUAUUGUUUGACUUUCUCUAUUCAACAACUAAAUUGCAAGUGUUGUGAGAUUUUUACUUGGGCCUUAAAAUAUCGGUCGGUCACGGAUAUUGUUCCCCCGUUCGUGAAAUUGUCCGACGUAGAGAGGAAACCACUGGACAUUCUGUCCGACCUAAGUGAAACUGAGGUUCAUUGAAAUGGUAUCCGAAUUAUCUGUAACGUAAAUCAAAAUGUACCCUUAGUCCAGGACUAAAUGGAGAAUCAGAGUAAUGUAUAAAAAGUGAACUGAAAAUGUGUAAUCAAGUACUGGGGUUUUCACCGUGAGGUUCGGAAAUUUAUUGCUAAGAUUCAAAUGACUUUUCCAAAUACAAAUUCAUCAAUACAUAUGUCCGACCCAAACUUAAAGUAGUCGAACAUUUUGUCAGACGGUUCUCUGACCGAUAUUUUAAGGCUGGAAUUUACGUGUGUAUGUCAUAGAUAUAAUAUAUCUAUGGUGUAUGUACACAGUUACACAGGGCUGUGGGCGAAAAUUUAAACCGCCUCCAAUAAUGUACACUAUUAUGCGCUUGUUGAUAUUACGGAUUUUUGAAAGCCUUCUGGGAAGGCGUAACUGAAUAAUAAUGCUUGAUUGCAGUUUAAUAUAUUAAAGUUUAUAUUGCACGAACCAUUUGUGCCAUCCAG